RNAcentral lists this ribosomal RNA (158 nucleotides) under Basidiomycota sp. F721. Its description in RNAcentral is "5.8S ribosomal RNA". It matches the Rfam family "5.8S ribosomal RNA". Rfam says of the family: 5.8S ribosomal RNA (5.8S rRNA) is a component of the large subunit of the eukaryotic ribosome. RNAcentral also lists the same sequence under 2 other names. Lineage: Eukaryota; Fungi; Basidiomycota. The record is from RNAcentral.
CAACUUUUAACAACGGAUCUCUUGGCUCUCGCAUCGAUGAAGAACGCAGCGAAAUGCGAUAAGUAAUGUGAAUUGCAGAAUUCAGUGAAUCAUCGAAUCUUUGAACGCACCUUGCGCUCUUUGGUAUUCCGAAGAGCAUGCCUGUUUGAGUGUCAUUA